This 303-nucleotide ribosomal RNA is filed under the name uncultured bacterium. RNAcentral's name for it is "partial 16S ribosomal RNA". It matches the Rfam family "Bacterial small subunit ribosomal RNA", at positions 507 to 807 of the family's 1533-position model. The record is from RNAcentral.
AGCAGCAGCCGCGGUAAUACGAAGGGUGCAAGCGUUAAUCGGAAUUACUGGGCGUAAAGCGUGCGUAGGCGGUUUGUUAAGUCUGUUGUGAAAUCCCCGGGCUCAACCUGGGAAUGGCAAUGGAUACUGGCAAGCUAGAGUGUGUCAGAAGAUGGUGGAAUUCCCGGUGUAGCGGUGAAAUGCGUAGAGAUCGGGAGGAACAUCAGUGGCGAAGGCGGCCAUCUGGGACAACACUGACGCUGAGGCACGAAAGCGUGGGGAGCAAACAGGAUUAGAUACCCCCGUAGUCCCUGUCUCUUAUAC